GUGCCAGCAGCCGCGGUAAUACGGGGGGGGCGAGCGUUGUCCGGAAUCAUUGGGCGUAAAGGGCGCGUAGGUGGCCCGGUCAGUUCGUGGUGAAAGCGCGGGGCUCAACUCCGCGUCGGCCAUGAAUGCUGCUGGGCUUGAGCACUGUAGAGGCAGGCGGAAUUCCGGGUGUAGCGGUGAAAUGCGCAGAGAUCGGGAGGAACACCCGUAGCGAAGGCGGCACUCUGGGCCGGUACUGACGCUGAGGAGCGAAAGCGUGGGGAGCAAACAGGAUUAGAUACCCCGGUAGUCC
Molecule: ribosomal RNA, 292 nt
Filed under: uncultured bacterium
Lineage: Bacteria
Description: partial 16S ribosomal RNA
Rfam family: Bacterial small subunit ribosomal RNA
Source: RNAcentral